This 72-nucleotide transfer RNA is filed under the name Ictidomys tridecemlineatus (thirteen-lined ground squirrel). RNAcentral's name for it is "Spermophilus tridecemlineatus (thirteen-lined ground squirrel) tRNA". It matches the Rfam family "tRNA". From Rfam's summary of the family: Transfer RNA (tRNA) molecules are approximately 80 nucleotides in length. Their secondary structure includes four short double-helical elements and three loops (D, anti-codon, and T loops). Further hydrogen bonds mediate the characteristic L-shaped molecular structure. tRNAs have two regions of fundamental functional importance: the anti-codon, which is responsible for specific mRNA codon recognition, and the 3' end, to which the tRNAs corresponding amino acid is attached (by aminoacyl-tRNA synthetases). tRNAs cope with the degeneracy of the genetic code in two manners: having more than one tRNA (with a specific anti-codon) for a particular amino acid; and 'wobble' base-pairing, i.e. permitting non-standard base-pairing at the 3rd anti-codon position. Lineage: Eukaryota; Metazoa; Chordata; Mammalia; Rodentia; Sciuridae. The record is from Rfam by way of RNAcentral. RNAcentral also lists the same sequence under 1 other name.
GGGGUUAUAGCUCAGUGGUAGAGUGCCUGCCUAGCAUAGGUAAGGAUCUGGGUUUGAUUCCCAGCACCACCA